ACCUACCAUGACGUACACAUACUUGAG
This 27-nucleotide ribosomal RNA is filed under the name Anopheles sinensis. RNAcentral's name for it is "partial 5.8S ribosomal RNA". Lineage: Eukaryota; Metazoa; Arthropoda; Insecta; Diptera; Culicidae. The record is from RNAcentral.